GCUCAGAAUGAACGCUGGCGGCGUGCUUAACACAUGCAAGUCGGAUGUGCCGCAAGGUGCAUGGCAGACGGGUGAGUAACGCGUGGGGAACCUACCUCUUCGUGGGGAAUAACGCUCCGAAAGGAGUGGUAAUACCGCAUGAGACCCUGGGCUGGGAUGUUCAGGGUGAAAGCUGGGGAUCGAAAGACCUGGCGCGAGGAGAGGGUCCUGCGUCUGAUUAGCUAGUUGGCGGGGUAAUGGCCCACCAAGGCGACGAUCAGUAGCCGGCCUGAGAGGGUGAUCGGCCACACUGGAACUGAGACACGGUCCAGACUCCUACGGGAGGCAGCAGUGGGGAAUUUUGCGCAAUGGGCGAGAGCCUGACGCAGCAACGCCGCGUGGGUGAUGAAGGUCUUCGGAUUGUAAAACCCUGUCGUCGGGGACGAAGGUUGGGGGGUGAAUAGCCUUUCAGCUUGACGGUACCCGGAGAGGAAGCCCCGGCUAACUCUGUGCCAGCAGCCGCGGUAAUACAGAGGGGGCAAGCGUUAUUCGGAAUUAUUGGGCGUAAAGGGCGCGUAGGCGGUGCUUUAAGUCGGAUGUGUAAUCCCCGAGCUUAACUUGGGAACUGCAUCCGAGACUGGAGUGCUGGAGUGCUGGAGAGGGUGGUGGAAUUCCUCGUGUAGCGGUGAAAUGCGUAGAGAUGAGGAGGAACACCAGUGGCGAAGGCGGCCACCUGGACAGUAACUGACGCUGAGGCGCGAAAGUGUGGGUAGCAAACAGGAUUAGAUACCCUGGUAGUCCACGCUGUAAACGAUGAACACUUGGUGUGGAGGGAGUUGACCCCUUCCGUGCCGUAGCUAACGCGAUAAGUGUUCCGCCUGGGGAGUACGGUCGCAGGCUGAAACUCAAAU
RNAcentral lists this ribosomal RNA (890 nucleotides) under uncultured bacterium. RNAcentral's name for it is "bacterial SSU rRNA". It matches the Rfam family "Bacterial small subunit ribosomal RNA", at positions 22 to 906 of the family's 1533-position model. The record is from RNAcentral.